This 486-nucleotide ribosomal RNA is filed under the name uncultured bacterium. RNAcentral's name for it is "partial 16S ribosomal RNA". It matches the Rfam family "Bacterial small subunit ribosomal RNA", at positions 30 to 507 of the family's 1533-position model. The record is from RNAcentral.
AUUGAACGCUGGCGGCAUGCCUUACACAUGCGAGUCGAACGGCAGCACGGGUGCUUGCACCUGGUGGCGAGUGGCGAACGGGUGAGUAAUACAUCGGAACAUGUCCUGUAGUGGGGGAUAGCCCGGCGAAAGCCGGAUUAAUACCGCAUACGAUCUACGGAUGAAAGCGGGGGACCUUCGGGCCUCGCGCUAUAGGGUUGGCCGAUGGCUGAUUAGCUAGUUGGUGGGGUAAAGGCCUACCAAGGCGACGAUCAGUAGAUGGUCUGAGAGGACGACCAGCCACACUGGGACUGAGACACGGCCCAGACUCCUACGGGAGGCAGCAGUGGGGAAUUUUGGACAAUGGGCGAAAGCCUGAUCCAGCAAUGCCGCGUGUGUGAAGAAGGCCUUCGGGUUGUAAAGCACUUUUGUCCGGAAAGAAAUCCUUGGCUCUAAUACAGUCGGGGGAUGACGGUACCGGAAGAAUAAGCACCGGCUAACUACGUG